This 253-nucleotide ribosomal RNA is filed under the name uncultured bacterium. RNAcentral describes it as "partial 16S ribosomal RNA". It matches the Rfam family "Bacterial small subunit ribosomal RNA", at positions 524 to 776 of the family's 1533-position model. The record is from RNAcentral.
UACGAAGGGGGCUAGCGUUGUUCGGAAUCACUGGGCGUAAAGCGCACGUAGGCGGACUUUUAAGUUAGAGGUGAAAUCCUGAGGCUCAACCUCAGAACUGCCUUUGAUACUGGGAGUCUCGAGUUCGGGAGAGGUGAGUGGAACGGCGAGUGGAGAGGUGAAAUGCGUAGAUAUGCGCAAGAACACCAGUGGCGAAGGCGGCGCACUGGCCCGAUACUGACGCUGAGGUGCGAAAGCGUGGGGAGCAAACAGG